GUGCCAGCAGCCGCGGUAAUACGGAAGGUCCGGGCGUUAUCCGGAUUUAUUGGGUUUAAAGGGAGCGCAGGCUGAUUGUUAAGCGUGACGUGAAAUGUAGCCGCUCAACGGCUGAACUGCGUCGCGAACUGGCAGUCUUGAGUGAGUACGACGUCAGCGGAAUUCGUGGUGUAGCGGUGAAAUGCUUAGAUAUCACGAAGAACCCCGAUUGCGAAGGCAGCUGACGAGUCCUUUACUGACGCUAAAGCUCGAAGGUGCGGGUAUCGAACAGGAUUAGAUACCCUGGUAGUCCGCACGGUAAACGAUGGAUGCCCGCUGUUGGCGAUACAGUGUCAGCGGCCAAGCGAAAGCGUUAAGCAUCCCACCUGGGGAGUACGCCGGCAACGGUGAAACUCAAAGGAAUUGACGGGGGCCCGCACAAGCGGAGGAACAUGUGGUUUAAUUCGAUGAUACGCGAGGAACCUUACCCGGGCUUGAACUGCAGCGGAAGGAUACAGAGAUGUUGACGUCCUUCGGGACCGCUGUGGAGGUGCUGCAUGGUUGUCGUCAGCUCGUGCCGUGAGGUGUCGGCUUAAGUGCCAUAACGAGCGCAACCCUUCUGCGUAGUUGCCAUCAGGUUAUGCUGGGCACUCUGCGCACACUGCCACCGUAAGGUGUGAGGAAGGUGGGGAUGACGUCAAAUCAGCACGGCCCUUACGUCCGGGGCUACACACGUGUUACAAUGGGUGGUACAGAGAGUCGGUCGUAUGCAAAUGCGAUCCAAUCCUUAAAGCCAUCCUCAGUUCGGAUUGGGGUCUGCAACCCGACCCCAUGAAGCUGGAUUCGCUAGUAAUCGCGCAUCAGCCAUGGCGCGGUGAAUACGUUCCCGGGCCUUGUACACACCGCCCGU
This 889-nucleotide ribosomal RNA is filed under the name uncultured bacterium. RNAcentral describes it as "bacterial SSU rRNA". It matches the Rfam family "Bacterial small subunit ribosomal RNA", at positions 505 to 1397 of the family's 1533-position model. The record is from RNAcentral.